This 253-nucleotide ribosomal RNA is filed under the name uncultured bacterium. RNAcentral describes it as "partial 16S ribosomal RNA". It matches the Rfam family "Bacterial small subunit ribosomal RNA", at positions 524 to 776 of the family's 1533-position model. The record is from RNAcentral.
UACGUAGGGUGCAAGCGUUGUCCGGAAUUACUGGGCGUAAAGCGCGCGCAGGCGGUUCUUCAAGUCAGAGGUGAAAGCCCAGAGCUCAACCCUGGAAUGGCCUUUGAGACUAGAGAACUAGGGUACGGGAGAGGUGAGUGGAAUUCCGAGUGUAGAGGUGAAAUUCGUAGAUAUUCGGAAGAACACCAGUGGCGAAGGCGGCUCACUGGCCCGUUACCGACGCUCAGGCGCGACAGCGUGGGGAGCAAACAGG